RNAcentral lists this ribosomal RNA (422 nucleotides) under uncultured bacterium. RNAcentral's name for it is "bacterial SSU rRNA". It matches the Rfam family "Bacterial small subunit ribosomal RNA", at positions 506 to 930 of the family's 1533-position model. The record is from RNAcentral.
GGCCAGCAGCCGCGGUAAUACGGAGGGUGCAAGCGUUGUCCGGAUUUAUUGGGUUUAAAGGGUGCGUAGGCGGCCCUGUAAGUCAGUGGUGAAAGCCUCCAGCUCAACUGGAGAACUGCCAUUGAUACUGCAGGGCUUGAGUACAGACGAGGUUGGCGGAAUUGAUUGUGUAGCGGUGAAAUGCAUAGAUACAAUCAAGAACUCCGAUUGCGUAGGCAGCUAACUAGGCUGUAACUGACGCUGAGGCACGAAAGCGUGGGGAGCGAACAGGAUUAGAUACCCUGGUAGUCCACGCUGUAAACGAUGAUUACUCGAUGUCGGCGAUAAACAGUCGGCGUCUUAGCGAAAGCGUUAAGUAAUCCACCUGGGGAGUACGCCCGCAAGGGUGAAACUCAAAGGAAUUGACGGGGGCCCGCACAAGG